CCCAUCACCCGUAGUGGCUAGCAUCGGCCGCUCUCAUUCAGAGUAAGAGCACAUAAUACCGGCCAUACCGGGGUUCGAUUCCCCGUAAUGGAA
Wilcoxina mikolae CBS 423.85 is the source of this 93-nucleotide non-coding RNA. Lineage: Eukaryota; Fungi; Ascomycota; Pezizomycetes; Pezizales; Pyronemataceae. The record is from the annotation of a GenBank genome assembly.